CUAGUAUAAGCAAUUAUACAGCGAAACUGCGAAUGGCUCAUUAAAUCAGUUAUCGUUUAUUUGAUAGUACCUUACUACUUGGAUAACCGUGGUAAUUCUAGAGCUAAUACAUGCUAAAAACCCCGACUCACGAAGGGGUGUAUUUAUUAGAUUAAAAACCAAUGCCCUUCGGGGCUCUUUGGUGAUUCAUAAUAACUUUUCGAAUCGCAUGGCCUUGCGCCGGCGAUGGUUCAUUCAAAUUUCUGCCCUAUCAACUUUCGAUGGCAGGGUCUUGGCCUGCCAUGGUUACAACGGGUAACGGAGGGUUAGGGCUCGACCCCGGAGAAGGAGCCUGAGAAACGGCUACUACAUCCAAGGAAGGCAGCAGGCGCGCAAAUUACCCAAUCCCGAUUCGGGGAGGUAGUGACAAUAAAUACUGAUACAGGGCUCUUUUGGGUCUUGUAAUUGGAAUGAGUACAAUUUAAAUCCCUUAACGAGGAACAAUUGGAGGGCAAGUCUGGUGCCAGCAGCCGCGGUAAUUCCAGCUCCAAUAGCGUAUAUUAAAGUUGUUGCAGUUAAAAAGCUCGUAGUUGAACCUUGGGCCUGGCUGGCCGGUCCGCCUCACCGCGUGCACUGGUUCGGCCGGGCCUUUCCCUCUGGGGAACCUCAUGGUCUUCACUGAUCGUGAUGGGGAACCAGGACUUUUACUGUGAAAAAAUUAGAGUGUUCAAAGCAGGCCUAUGCUCGAAUACAUUAGCAUGGAAUAAUAAAAUAGGACGUGUGGUUCUAUUUUGUUGGUUUCUAGGACCGCCGUAAUGAUUAAUAGGGACAGUCGGGGGCAUCAGUAUUCAAUUGUCAGAGGUGAAAUUCUUGGAUUUAUUGAAGACUAACUACUGCGAAAGCAUUUGCCAAGGAUGUUUUCAUUAAUCAGGAACGAAAGUUAGGGGAUCGAAGACGAUCAGAUACCGUCGUAGUCUUAACCAUAAACUAUGCCGACUAGGGAUCGGACGGUGUUACUUAUUGACCCGUUCGGCACCUUACGAGAAAUCAAAGUCUUUGGGUUCU
This 1044-nucleotide ribosomal RNA is filed under the name Pestalotiopsis thailandica. RNAcentral describes it as "SSU rRNA". It matches the Rfam family "Eukaryotic small subunit ribosomal RNA", at positions 60 to 1115 of the family's 1831-position model. Lineage: Eukaryota; Fungi; Ascomycota; Sordariomycetes; Amphisphaeriales; Sporocadaceae. The record is from RNAcentral.